This 1404-nucleotide ribosomal RNA is filed under the name Staphylococcus sp. RNAcentral describes it as "bacterial SSU rRNA". It matches the Rfam family "Bacterial small subunit ribosomal RNA". The record is from RNAcentral. Lineage: Bacteria; Bacillati; Bacillota; Bacilli; Caryophanales; Staphylococcaceae.
AGUCGAGCGAACAGAUAAGGAGCUUGCUCCUUUGACGUUAGCGGCGGACGGGUGAGUAACACGUGGGUAACCUACCUAUAAGACUGGGAUAACUUCGGGAAACCGGAGCUAAUACCGGAUAACAUUUGGAACCGCAUGGUUCUAAAGUGAAAGAUGGUUUUGCUAUCACUUAUAGAUGGACCCGCGCCGUAUUAGCUAGUUGGUAAGGUAACGGCUUACCAAGGCAACGAUACGUAGCCGACCUGAGAGGGUGAUCGGCCACACUGGAACUGAGACACGGUCCAGACUCCUACGGGAGGCAGCAGUAGGGAAUCUUCCGCAAUGGGCGAAAGCCUGACGGAGCAACGCCGCGUGAGUGAUGAAGGGUUUCGGCUCGUAAAACUCUGUUAUUAGGGAAGAACAAAUGUGUAAGUAACUGUGCACAUCUUGACGGUACCUAAUCAGAAAGCCACGGCUAACUACGUGCCAGCAGCCGCGGUAAUACGUAGGUGGCAAGCGUUAUCCGGAAUUAUUGGGCGUAAAGCGCGCGUAGGCGGUUUCUUAAGUCUGAUGUGAAAGCCCACGGCUCAACCGUGGAGGGUCAUUGGAAACUGGGAAACUUGAGUGCAGAAGAGGAAAGUGGAAUUCCAUGUGUAGCGGUGAAAUGCGCAGAGAUAUGGAGGAACACCAGUGGGCGAAGGCGACUUUCUGGUCUGUAACUGACGCUGAUGUGCGAAAGCGUGGGGAUCAAACAGGAUUAGAUACCCUGGUAGUCCACGCCGUAAACGAUGAGUGCUAAGUGUUAGGGGGUUUCCGCCCCUUAGUGCUGCAGCUAACGCAUUAAGCACUCCGCCUGGGGAGUACGACCGCAAGGUUGAAACUCAAAGGAAUUGACGGGGACCCGCACAAGCGGUGGAGCAUGUGGUUUAAUUCGAAGCAACGCGAAGAACCUUACCAAAUCUUGACAUCCUUUGAAAACUCUAGAGAUAGAGCCUUCCCCUUCGGGGGACAAAGUGACAGGUGGUGCAUGGUUGUCGUCAGCUCGUGUCGUGAGAUGUUGGGUUAAGUCCCGCAACGAGCGCAACCCUUAAGCUUAGUUGCCAUCAUUAAGUUGGGCACUCUAGGUUGACUGCCGGUGACAAACCGGAGGAAGGUGGGGAUGACGUCAAAUCAUCAUGCCCCUUAUGAUUUGGGCUACACACGUGCUACAAUGGACAAUACAAAGGGCAGCUAAACCGCGAGGUCAUGCAAAUCCCAUAAAGUUGUUCUCAGUUCGGAUUGUAGUCUGCAACUCGACUACAUGAAGCUGGAAUCGCUAGUAAUCGUAGAUCAGCAUGCUACGGUGAAUACGUUCCCGGGUCUUGUACACACCGCCCGUCACACCACGAGAGUUUGUAACACCCGAAGCCGGUGGAGUAACCAUUU